AGUGAUUUCAUCUAAUCUUAUAAGAAUUAUUCAAAAUACGGAGCAUUUUAAUCAGUAUUACAUGAACAAUUUAUGACUUACCAGUUGAUAAAAAUGAUUAAAUUAUAGGUAUUGUGUAAAAUACAUACAUGGUAUCACACUUUAUUUAUUAACAUCUAAAAAAAUUAGAUAUUUAUGUGCCUAGAAGUCAUUUAAUAAAAAGGUUAUUUGGAAAAGAAAAUAUCAUCUGGGUCAUGCAGUUGAAAGCCAGUGUGUGGAUUUUGGUUGGCUUCAACGUUUUCUAGUGUUCAUAAUUCAGUGAGAAAAUUCAUUGUUGAGGUUGAUUAGAAAAUAAAUUCUAUAGACUACAAAUAUCAGAUUGUUGGUAAAUAAGGCGUCAAAAAAAAAUGACAAACUAUAAGUUAUAUUUUAGCUAUAAUAACAAGAAAUAUUUAAGGCUUAUGAUUGCUUAGAAGAUAAGGAUUAUCAACAUUCUAAAGUUAACCAUUCGUUGAAUUUUAAAAACCCUAAAACUGUACUAAAACAAAAUAGAGGGUCUUUGACAAAAAUCACUUUUAAAAAUAUGUAAAAUCAAAUUUAAAAGUUUUUUGGUAUGUAUGGUUAAACUCAACAAUGUUUGUGUCUAAUUUACAGUUAAGAGAUAAUACAUG
Daktulosphaira vitifoliae (grape phylloxera) is the source of this 650-nucleotide long non-coding RNA. RefSeq lists it as uncharacterized. Lineage: Eukaryota; Metazoa; Arthropoda; Insecta; Hemiptera; Phylloxeridae. The transcript is spliced from 3 exons. The record is from RefSeq and is a predicted model, not a curated record.